UGUCUUUUUGAAAAUAAUAUAAAGUCUAAUCUGCCCACUGAUUUAAUAUUAAAGGGCUGCAGUAUAUUGACUGUACAAAGGUAGCAUAAUCAUUAGUCAUUUAAUUGAUGACUUGUAUGAAGGAUUGGAUGAAAUAUAAACUGUCUCUUAAUUAUAUUUAGAAUUUAAUUUUUUAAUUAAAAAGUUAAAAUGAAUUAAAAAGACGAGAAGACCCUAUAGAGUUUUAUAAUUAAAUUAAUUGAGAUUUUUUGUAAGAUUAAAAUUAAAAUUAAUUUAUUUAUUUUGUUGGGGUGACAGAAAAAUAUGGAGAACUUUUUUUAUAUUAUUACAUAAAUAAGUGAUUAAAUGAUCCAAUAUUAUUGAUUAUAAGAAAAAAUUACCUUAGGGAUAACAGCGUAAUUUUUUUUUUUAGUUCAUAUAAAAAAAAAAGUUUGCGACCUCGAUGUUGGAUUAAGAUAAAAUUUAAAUGCAGAAG
RNAcentral lists this ribosomal RNA (475 nucleotides) under Sesamia calamistis. Its description in RNAcentral is "partial 16S large subunit ribosomal RNA". The record is from RNAcentral. Lineage: Eukaryota; Metazoa; Arthropoda; Insecta; Lepidoptera; Noctuidae.